AUAUGUGUGUUCUACGGUUGGUAUGCUGGAAAUGGAGAUAAGCCGAUCCCAUCGAGCUGGUCUUUCUACAAGCAACGAGCUGAUCUUUAAAUAAGCAACGAUAUCGAUAAAUUGAUGUGAGAAUACUGGUAGCCAUGCUUAAUAUCCAAAAUUGAACGAACAUUUUUUUUGGCAAUUACUGAAUAUUGAUGCUCUAAAUUGAGUAGUUAGUCGAGUAUAUUCUUUCGAUUACUGAGCGCUGAUGACUAAACUGAGUAGUUAGUAUAGUAGUUUUGUAAGUAUUUUUAUUUCAGUUUCAGUAAUUUGUUAUUGCAAGCACAAUUAUUCUUUUUUGUCGCUUAGUUUAAACCCAGUAGGUAGUUUAGUAGUUCAGUAAUGAAAUACUAGACUAUCGAACUACAUGAGAUUGAAAUAGAGCUUAGUAACUAACACUACUGAAACUAAAAAAAAUUACUGAGCUCAAUCAUCUCAUGAAUCAGCAAGAUGUGCAACAUAGUUGAAUAGUCUAAUUACUGAAUCGUGUGCCCUUUUUGACCCGAUAUAUAUAUAUAUAUAUAUAUAUAUAUAUAUAUAUAUAUAUAUAUAUAUAUAUAUUGGAAAUGGAUAUAUGUUGAUUCCACCAAGCUAGUCAUUAAGCAAGCAACAGCGCAAACAAAUUGAGGUGAGGACAACAGGAGUAAUGUUUAAUAUCCAAAAUCACAUGUCCAUGUUUAUCGGUGAUUACUGAAUAUUUUGGCUAGCUAGGCUAGUUCUUUUUUUUAGGAUUUAGUAUCACAUAGUUGUGCUGGUCCAGAUGAAGGAGCGCCGCUGGGAAAAUGAAGGUUUUUUCGGGGUAUGUUGGAAAUGGAGACACGCUAAACCCGUCAAGCUAGUCAUUAAACAAGCAACGACGCUGACAAAUUGAGAGUUUUACCGGUGGUAGGUUUAUGUGGCAAUAACACCCCUUUCCGACUCAUCGUC
Long non-coding RNA from Panicum virgatum (switchgrass), 960 nucleotides. RefSeq lists it as uncharacterized. The record is from RefSeq and is a predicted model, not a curated record. The transcript has 3 exons. Lineage: Eukaryota; Viridiplantae; Streptophyta; Magnoliopsida; Poales; Poaceae.